RNAcentral lists this ribosomal RNA (116 nucleotides) under Salinivibrio kushneri. The record is from RNAcentral. Lineage: Bacteria; Pseudomonadati; Pseudomonadota; Gammaproteobacteria; Vibrionales; Vibrionaceae.
CAUGGCGACCAUAGCGCUUUGGACCCACCUGAUUCCAUGCCGAACUCAGUAGUGAAACGAAGCAGCGCCGAUGGUAGUGUGGGGUCUCCCCAUGUGAGAGUAGGACAUCGCCAGGC